GACGAACGCUGGCGGCGUGCCUAAUACAUGCAAGUCGAACGAACUCUGGUAUUGAUUGGUGCUUGCAUCAUGAUUUACAUUUGAGUGAGUGGCGAACUGGUGAGUAACACGUGGGAAACCUGCCCAGAAGCGGGGGAUAACACCUGGAAACAGAUGCUAAUACCGCAUAACAACUUGGACCGCAUGGUCCGAGUUUGAAAGAUGGCUUCGGCUAUCACUUUUGGAUGGUCCCGCGGCGUAUUAGCUAGAUGGUGAGGUAACGGCUCACCAUGGCAAUGAUACGUAGCCGACCUGAGAGGGUAAUCGGCCACAUUGGGACUGAGACACGGCCCAAACUCCUACGGGAGGCAGCAGUAGGGAAUCUUCCACAAUGGACGAAAGUCUGAUGGAGCAACGCCGCGUGAGUGAAGAAGGGUUUCGGCUCGUAAAACUCUGUUGUUAAAGAAGAACAUAUCUGAGAGUAACUGUUCAGGUAUUGACGGUAUUUAACCAGAAAGCCACGGCUAACUACGUGCCAGCAGCCGCGGUAAUACGUAGGUGGCAAGCGUUGUCCGGAUUUAUUGGGCGUAAAGCGAGCGCAGGCGGUUUUUUAAGUCUGAUGUGAAAGCCUUCGGCUCAACCGAAGAAGUGCAUCGGAAACUGGGGAACUUGAGUGCAGAAGAGGACAGUGGAACUCCAUGUGUAGCGGUGAAAUGCGUAGAUAUAUGGAAGAACACCAGUGGCGAAGGCGGCUGUCUGGUCUGUAACUGACGCUGAGGCUCGAAAGUAUGGGUAGCAAACAGGAUUAGAUACCCUGGUAGUCCAUACCGUAAACGAUGAAUGCUAAGUGUUGGAGGGUUUCCGCCCUUCAGUGCUGCAGCUAACGCAUUAAGCAUUCCGCCUGGGGAGUACGGCCGCAAGGCUGAAACUCAAAGGAAUUGACGGGGGCCCGCACAAGCGGUGGAGCAUGUGGUUUAAUUCGAAGCUACGCGAAGAACCUUACCAGGUCUUGACAUACUAUGCAAAUCUAAGAGAUUAGACGUUCCCUUUGGGGACAUGGAUACAGGUGGUGCAUGGUUGUCGUCAGCUCGUGUCGUGAGAUGUUGGGUUAAGUCCCGCAACGAGCGCAACCCUUAUUAUCAGUUGCCAGCAUUAAGUUGGGCACUCUGGUGAGACUGCCGGUGACAAACCGGAGGAAGGUGGGGAUGACGUCAAAUCAUCAUGCCCCUUAUGACCUGGGCUACACACGUGCUACAAUGGAUGGUACAACGAGUUGCGAACUCGCGAGAGUAAGCUAAUCUCUUAAAGCCAUUCUCAGUUCGGAUUGUAGGCUGCAACUCGCCUACAUGAAGUCGGAAUCGCUAGUAAUCGCGGAUCAGCAUGCCGCGGUGAAUACGUUCCCGGGCCUUGUACACACCGCCCGUCACACCAUGAGAGUUUGUAACACCCAAAGUCGGUGGGGUAACCUUUUAGGAACCAGCCGCCUAAGGUGGGACAGAUGAUUAGGGUG
This 1489-nucleotide ribosomal RNA is filed under the name Lactiplantibacillus plantarum. RNAcentral's name for it is "bacterial SSU rRNA". It matches the Rfam family "Bacterial small subunit ribosomal RNA". The record is from RNAcentral. Lineage: Bacteria; Bacillati; Bacillota; Bacilli; Lactobacillales; Lactobacillaceae.